UACGUAGGUGGCAAGCGUUGUCCGGAUUUAUUGGGUUUAAAGGGUGCGUAGGCGGUUAAUUAAGUCAGUGGUGAAAUACUUCAGCUCAACUGGAGAGGUGCCAUUGAUACUGGUUGACUUGAGUACUGAUGAGGUAGGCGGAAUGGACGGUGUAGCGGUGAAAUGCUUAGAUAUCGUCCAGAACACCGAUAGCGAAGGCAGCUUACUAAGGAGUAACUGACGCUGAGGCACGAAAGUGUGGGGAUCAAACAGG
Molecule: ribosomal RNA, 253 nt
Filed under: uncultured bacterium
Lineage: Bacteria
Description: partial 16S ribosomal RNA
Rfam family: Bacterial small subunit ribosomal RNA
Source: RNAcentral